CCGAACCGACUAAUGUUGAAAAAUUAGCGGAUGACCUGUGGCUGGGGGUGAAAGGCCAAUCAAACCGGGAGAUAGCUGGUUCUCCCCGAAAGCUAUUUAGGUAGCGCCUCGUGAAUUCAUCUCCGGGGGUAGAGCACUGUUUCGGCUAGGGGGCCAUCCCGGCUUACCAACCCGAUGCAAACUGCGAAUACCGGAGAAUGUUAUCACGGGAGACACACGGCGGGUGCUAACGUCCGUCGUGAAGAGGGAAACAACCCAGACCGCCAGCUAAGGUCCCAAAGUCAUGGUUAAGUGGGAAACGAUGUGGGAAGGCCCAGACAGCCAGGAUGUUGGCUUAGAAGCAGCCAUCAUUUAAAGAAAGCGUAAUAGCUCACUGGUCGAGUCGGCCUGCGCGGAAGAUGUAACGGGGCUAAACCAUGCACCGAAGCUGCGGCAGCGACACUGUGUGUU
RNAcentral lists this ribosomal RNA (450 nucleotides) under Salmonella enterica. RNAcentral describes it as "partial 23S ribosomal RNA". It matches the Rfam family "Bacterial large subunit ribosomal RNA", at positions 774 to 1222 of the family's 2925-position model. The record is from RNAcentral. Lineage: Bacteria; Pseudomonadati; Pseudomonadota; Gammaproteobacteria; Enterobacterales; Enterobacteriaceae. RNAcentral also lists the same sequence under 1 other name.